UACGGAGGAUGCGAGCGUUAUCCGGAUUUAUUGGGUUUAAAGGGUGCGCAGGCGGCACGGCAAGCCGGCGGUCAAAUCGCGGGGCUCAACCCCGCCCAGCCGUCGGAACUGCCGGGCUAGAGUGGGCGAGAAGAGCGCGGAAUGCGUGGUGUAGCGGUGAAAUGCAUAGAUAUCACGCAGAACUCCGAUUGCGAAGGCAGCGCACCGGCGCCCUACUGACGCUCAGGCACGAAAGCGUGGGUAUCGAACAGG
RNAcentral lists this ribosomal RNA (252 nucleotides) under uncultured bacterium. RNAcentral describes it as "partial 16S ribosomal RNA". It matches the Rfam family "Bacterial small subunit ribosomal RNA", at positions 524 to 776 of the family's 1533-position model. The record is from RNAcentral.